RNAcentral lists this transfer RNA (72 nucleotides) under Ictidomys tridecemlineatus (thirteen-lined ground squirrel). RNAcentral's name for it is "Spermophilus tridecemlineatus (thirteen-lined ground squirrel) tRNA". It matches the Rfam family "tRNA". From Rfam's summary of the family: Transfer RNA (tRNA) molecules are approximately 80 nucleotides in length. Their secondary structure includes four short double-helical elements and three loops (D, anti-codon, and T loops). Further hydrogen bonds mediate the characteristic L-shaped molecular structure. tRNAs have two regions of fundamental functional importance: the anti-codon, which is responsible for specific mRNA codon recognition, and the 3' end, to which the tRNAs corresponding amino acid is attached (by aminoacyl-tRNA synthetases). tRNAs cope with the degeneracy of the genetic code in two manners: having more than one tRNA (with a specific anti-codon) for a particular amino acid; and 'wobble' base-pairing, i.e. permitting non-standard base-pairing at the 3rd anti-codon position. The record is from Rfam by way of RNAcentral. Lineage: Eukaryota; Metazoa; Chordata; Mammalia; Rodentia; Sciuridae.
GGUGUUGUAGCUCGGUGGUAGAGCGCUCACCUACCACAUGUGGGACCCUGGGUUCAAUUCUCAGCACCACAG